RNAcentral lists this non-coding RNA (30 nucleotides) under Cricetulus griseus (Chinese hamster). The record is from RNAcentral. Lineage: Eukaryota; Metazoa; Chordata; Mammalia; Rodentia; Cricetidae.
AAAAAAGCUGUUCUAUUAAAUCUCCCGAGG